GGAGCGGUAGUUCAGUUGGUUAGAAUACCUGCCUGUCACGCAGGGGGGUCGCGGGUUCGAGUCCCGUCCGUUCCGCCA
Molecule: transfer RNA, 78 nt
Filed under: Citrobacter koseri
Lineage: Bacteria; Pseudomonadati; Pseudomonadota; Gammaproteobacteria; Enterobacterales; Enterobacteriaceae
Also listed under: 14 other names
Description: tRNA-Asp(gtc)
Rfam family: tRNA
About the family: Transfer RNA (tRNA) molecules are approximately 80 nucleotides in length. Their secondary structure includes four short double-helical elements and three loops (D, anti-codon, and T loops).
Source: RNAcentral